GAUGAAGAACGUAGCGAAAUGCGAUAAGUAAUGCGAAUUGCAGAAUCCGUGAGUCAUCGAAUCUUUGAACGCACAUUGCGCCCUCUGGUAUUCCGGGGGGCAUGCCUGUUCGAGCGUCAUUAUCCAUCCCUCAAACCUCGUGUUUGAUGUUGGGCUUUUCUGAACCGUCACAAGUUGGGAUGCCUCAAAGGUAAUGACGGCGUCCUCGUGGGACUCGACGCACUGAGCUUUUUUGCAAAGGCACGCGUUGUAGGAUCACGGGCGACCCGGUCUAACUCUUAAAAAUUUUUACAAGGUUGACCUCGGAUCAGGUAGGGAUACCCGCUGAACUUAAGCAUAUCAAUAAGCGGAGGA
Molecule: unclassified non-coding RNA, 354 nt
Filed under: soil metagenome
Description: partial contains 5.8S ribosomal RNA, internal transcribed spacer 2, and large subunit ribosomal RNA
Rfam family: 5.8S ribosomal RNA (bases 1-119)
Source: RNAcentral